This is a long non-coding RNA of Oncorhynchus tshawytscha (Chinook salmon), 574 nucleotides long. RefSeq lists it as uncharacterized. The record is from RefSeq and is a predicted model, not a curated record. The transcript is spliced from 3 exons. Lineage: Eukaryota; Metazoa; Chordata; Actinopteri; Salmoniformes; Salmonidae.
UAGGGACGUAGCUCAGCCGCGGAGAAGUUGUAAUAUAAUUGGUAUGCGACCUUACAUUCCAAAUUACACCCUUUUCGUUUUAUAGUGCACUAUGUUUAACCAUAAGGAUCUGGUUAAAGUGAGCGUACUAGCAAUAGGGUACCAUUUGGAACGUCGUAACUUCUGACUAAGCACAACUCGAGUCACAUGUCGCGGCUGUUGGCUGGUCUCUCUAGACGAGUUGACACUUCUUUCCGCCCGCUAAGAGGACGGUGUGAGGUUUUGAGAAGUCACCGAGUACCGGGGAGAAGGCGACAGCAAAGGCCAUGGCGACCGGAGACAGUGGCGGAGAGAGUCUAGAGUCGUGGCUGAACAAGGCCACAGACCCGUCUAACUCAGAAGACAGGUGGGACAGUAUCCAGGGCUUCUAUGACCAGGUCAACCAGGAGGCUGAUGGUCCUCAGGUUGCCACUCGUCUCCUGGCCCACAAGAUCCAGUCUCCUCAGCAGAGAGAGGCUCUGCAGGCCCUCACAGUAAGAUAACACACCAUCAUAUUAUUAUACUAUAGUAAUAACUAUAUAAUACUGUUGUAAAA